Molecule: microRNA precursor, 65 nt
Filed under: Phelipanche ramosa
Lineage: Eukaryota; Viridiplantae; Streptophyta; Magnoliopsida; Lamiales; Orobanchaceae
Description: miR172c
Source: RNAcentral
AUGCAUCAUCAUCAAGAUUCACAUUCAGCUAGCGCCAAUUACUGAGAAUCUUGAUGAUGCUGCAU